This 315-nucleotide ribosomal RNA is filed under the name Triticum aestivum (bread wheat). RNAcentral's name for it is "partial small subunit ribosomal RNA". The record is from RNAcentral. Lineage: Eukaryota; Viridiplantae; Streptophyta; Magnoliopsida; Poales; Poaceae.
AUUUGCAAGCCCAAAGACCAGGGGGGUCUUGGCAUCCUCUCUUCCCGACGCAUGAACAUUGCCCUCCUGACUCGCUGGCUGUGGCGUAUUGCCAACGGGGAGGGAGGCCUCUAGCUCACCAUCAUACGUAAUAAAUAUCUUCGUGGCCAGCCUCUCGCCUUUUGCCAACGUACGGGCGGUUCCCAGUUCUGGCAGUCUGUGAUCCAGCUCCUGCCCGUACUACGCAUUGGCACCUCUAUAUCGGUUGGCUCCGGAGCCUCGACCCUGUUUUGGCUCGACCGUUGGCUAGGGAACGCCCCCCUGGCGGUGCGUUUC